This 253-nucleotide ribosomal RNA is filed under the name uncultured bacterium. RNAcentral's name for it is "partial 16S ribosomal RNA". It matches the Rfam family "Bacterial small subunit ribosomal RNA", at positions 524 to 776 of the family's 1533-position model. The record is from RNAcentral.
UACGAAGGGUGCAAGCGUUACUCGGAAUUACUGGGCGUAAAGGGUGCGUAGGCGGGUCUUUAAGUCAGGCGUGAAAGCCCUGGGCUCAACCUGGGAGUGGCGCUUGAUACUGAAUGACUAGAGUGCGGGAGAGGAAAGUGGAAUUCCUGGUGUAGCGGUGAAAUGCGUAGAUAUCAGGAGGAACACCGGUGGUGUAGACGGCUUUCUGGACCGUAACUGACGCUGAGACACGAAAGCGUGGGUAGCAAACAGG